ACCUUAUUAUGUCAAAUAAUCAUCUUGAAGGUGCAAUUCCAUUGGAAUUUUGCCAACUUCUCUAUCUUGAAGUUUUGGACCUUACAAACAACAAUGUCUCUGGUAUUUUACCAUCUUGCUUUAGGCCUUCAUCAAUAAUACAUGUUCACUUGUCUGAUAAUAGGAUAGAAGGACCAAUGACAAGUGCACUUUCAGACAGUCGUUUCCUUGUUACAUUAGAUCUUAGCAAUAACCACAUA
RNAcentral lists this unclassified non-coding RNA (239 nucleotides) under Hevea brasiliensis (rubber tree). Lineage: Eukaryota; Viridiplantae; Streptophyta; Magnoliopsida; Malpighiales; Euphorbiaceae. The record is from RNAcentral.